RNAcentral lists this ribosomal RNA (468 nucleotides) under uncultured bacterium. Its description in RNAcentral is "partial 16S ribosomal RNA". It matches the Rfam family "Bacterial small subunit ribosomal RNA", at positions 28 to 507 of the family's 1533-position model. The record is from RNAcentral.
GACGAACGCUGGCGGCGUGCUUAACACAUGCAAGUCGAACGGAAAGGCCCUGCUUUUGUGGGGUGCUCGAGUGGCGAACGGGUGAGUAACAAGUGAGUAACCUGCCCUUGACUUUGGGAUAACUUCAGGAAACUGGGGCUAAUACCGGAUAGGAGCUCCUGCUGCAUGGUGGGGGUUGGAAAGUUUCGGCGGUUGGGGAUGGACUCGCGGCUUAUCAGCUUGUUGGUGGGGUAGUGGCUUACCAAGGCUUUGACGGGUAGCCGGCCUGAGAGGGUGACCGGCCACAUUGGGACUGAGAUACGGCCCAGACUCCUACGGGAGGCAGCAGUGGGGAAUAUUGCACAAUGGGCGGAAGCCUGAUGCAGCAACGCCGCGUGCGGGAUGACGGCCUUCGGGUUGGAAACCGCUUUCGCCUGUGACGAAGCGUGAGUGACGGUAAUGGGUAAAGAAGCACCGGCUAACUACGUG